GAUGAACGCUGACAGAAUGCUUAACACAUGCAAGUCAACUUGAACUUCGGUUUGGGUGGCGAACGGGUGAGUAACGCGUAAAGAACUUGCCUCACAGAUAGGGACAACAUUUGGAAACGAAUGCUAAUACCUGAUAUUAUGAUUAUAUGGCAUCGUAUAAUUAUGAAAGCUAUAUGCGCUGUGAGAGAGCUUUGCGUCCCAUUAGCUAGUUGGAGAGGUAACGGCUCACCAAGGCGAUGAUGGGUAGCCGGCCUGAGAGGGUGAUCGGCCACAAGGGGACUGAGACACGGCCCCUACUCCUACGGGAGGCAGCAGUGGGGAAUAUUGGACAAUGGACCAAGAGUCUGAUCCAGCAAUUCUGUGUGCACGAUGAAGUUUUUCGGAAUGUAAAGUGCUUUCAGUUGGGAAGAAAAAAAUGACGGUACCAACAGAAGAAGUGACGGCUAAAUACGUG
RNAcentral lists this ribosomal RNA (454 nucleotides) under uncultured bacterium. RNAcentral describes it as "partial 16S ribosomal RNA". It matches the Rfam family "Bacterial small subunit ribosomal RNA", at positions 28 to 507 of the family's 1533-position model. The record is from RNAcentral.